Drosophila virilis is the source of this 1407-nucleotide non-coding RNA. NCBI's taxonomy places the organism in Eukaryota, Metazoa, Arthropoda, Insecta, Diptera, Drosophilidae. The record is from RefSeq and is a predicted model, not a curated record.
GCUGAUUUCGGUUCAAAAUAUAUUCAGGCACCCUGCAGGCCUUUACAGUGUGUAUUGUUUACCGGCUCUAAAAAAUUUACAUAGCCUACCAUUCGAUAGAAAAUAGAGUGGAGAAAUACUUGCAAUUCGGCGCCAAUUAUUUUGAACAAGCAACAAUAAAAGCAAUUUGCAGCCUGAGAACGAGGGCCAACUGCAGCAUAUGCACAUCCACACCCAAACAUACACACACAUUAAAACACAAUUAGAAUAAAUUUUCGCACAACUGAGGCCCCGCACCGAAGCGAUCGCAAAGUCGAGUUGAUUACACGAAACGCGCCCACGCCUCCAGCUAAAGAAUGAAAACUAUAAAGUAAGGUCCCGGGGCGAACAUACGUUCCGGCUAGAUAAUACCAACCGAUACGAGGAAAACAAAUGAUACGAAAACUAGCCCUGGCAGUCUGGGAAAGGCAGCUGUAACAGUUUUUCAUGCGCAUUUUCACCAAUUUCCAAUAGGCAGACACGCAAUUUUGGACCGUGGCAACGCACGAAACCUGCACCGGGCUUUGCUCUGGCUCCGGUAAUGAGACGACGUCGCCACGGUAGGGUAAGAGCGAAUAUGUUGGCACUGUUUUGGCACACAUGGCAAUAUGGGUAUCGACAACAACUACAGAAAACGCUGGCAACUUGGAGGCCACAAAAAUCCUUUGCACAAAACACGCACAUCGCUGAUGGGCGCUCCCCUCCGCCGCCCGACCUCUUUCCGGGCCACGCGCCUUCACCAAGCCUCGUUAUCUAGCUGGCAGCCCAUAAUGGGCUACGCAUAUGAGAAAGUAGGAUGUGUGCCACAAUGCCAUAAGAGAAGGGGCACGCGAUGGCACGGUUCAGUAAGGCAACAAAAUAUAUUCAAUAAAUUCUGUCAAAGGCAUUAUGGAAAAUGCUUUCUCGUACGAGUGCGAAAGCAAGGCUUGUCAGUGCCAAUGCCAGAUCAGAUCAACAGCUCAUUUAUCGAUCGCAUAUUAGAUAGAGCUCGAUAGCAUACAUAAAAAUGUAGCAACAUCUAAGCCCGACCAGUAUCAGCCCAUAAUUCCCUGACACACGUAAUUAAUCUGCUUUUCUGUGCUGGCAUUCUGGUUUUCCCACUUUCCAAUUGGCGGUAAUGUGAGGCUUCUUCUUGGGGCAGAUAACCAUGUAAGUGACUUGUCAUCCAAAGUUUGGGUCAUUUUAUGGCCCUGUCUACAAGCUUGUUGGGCCCAUAAAAACAGAGAGUCAAGGCGACGCAUAGAUAAACAUGAAUGAAGCGACAUUCCGGCCUCAUCAGGCUUAACCUUUCCAGGCACGUACCACAAAAACACACUCACAUCUAUAUAUAUAAAAUCUAUGACUAAACUCAACCAAAGUUGAACGACAUUAAAACGCAGCGCAGGAAAA